ACAUGCCGUGGACUACAUUUUUGGAAAAGGAGUGAGAUUGUUGCUGUGGGGCUCUGUCUGUACCAGAAGCUGCUGCUGAGAGCCUGCAAGGGCUUUAAUCAAGCAGGAAGCCUCAGAGGCUGUUGGUGGUUUCAUUGGACUCAGAGCAGAGACUGUUGCUGUGCCUAGAGCUGACGGAGGUGGGCCUGCAGUGAAGGAACUGAGUAAAGAGACUGCAGCAGAGGGGUGAAUAGAGAGGAUUUCCAUCUCUCCAUCCAACAGCACCAUGGGGAUACUCAGGAUCUUCUUUAAUGUCAACAACAUCAGGCAUCCAGGCACACAGAUGGGAACUGAAGCACGGAGAGACUACAUGACUUUCCCAAGAUGAUACACUAUAUUUGUGACAGAACCAGCAGCAAGCCCAGAUCUUCUGAGCCUCAGUCCAAUGCCUUUACCAACUGCAAGACCAUCCUUCCUAGACCAUCCCAGGAAGGAGGACAACAGGAGAUGUCAUUUCCUGAAGCCUCAGACAAGGAACAGCCAAAUCACAUUACCAGCGCUUAAGCAGCUGAAGUGGCCACUUCCACUAUUAUGCCUCCAGAAGGUGAGACAGAUUUGUCCCUUUGUAUCUGCCAGGGCCACCAGGCUUAAGAUUUGCCCCUCUGUGCCUUCUUUCAUACCAUCCCUUAUACUUCAAAAAAACACCCAGUUACAGUUUGCCAAGUACCCUCUAUCUCUUCUUUCAAAAAUCAAUAAAGACCAAUCUAUUCUAUGAGGCAUUCCAC
This is a non-coding RNA of Chelonoidis abingdonii (Abingdon island giant tortoise), 764 nucleotides long. NCBI's taxonomy places the organism in Eukaryota, Metazoa, Chordata, Testudines, Testudinidae. The record is from RefSeq and is a predicted model, not a curated record.